GUUCGGUCGCUGUCUCCAGACCUUUGCAGAUGGAGCAAUCAUGCAGGGUAACUAAUGACCUAGUUUUGGUUUGGUUCAGAACCUGGCUGUCAGAUGGUGUCAUGAUCUCCGGCUUGUAGAGACUGCUACUGAAGGACAGAAGACAGGGCACUAUGAGCCUGCACCCUCUGCUGCUACUGUUUCUGGGGUCCUCUCACAGUGCAUUCACACAGCUGCCUGAUGCAGUGGAAGAGGAAGGAGGUGUGACAGCGUUUCUACCGGAGCCUGUGGAUGACACGUAUUGGUCAGGCACAGCCCCGAUCUGUGUGAGCGGCUGUAAGGGGAGACACCAGGAGCUGAAGAAGGAUCGCUGCGGGGACUCUGACUGCUGCUGGUUUGGCUACAAGUCUUUUUGCAGAGUGAACUGUGGACGGCCUGGUGUGGACUAUAACGGUGUGGUGUACGGGAAUGACUGGUGGGUGGGCUCAGUGGUCAGAUAUGCCUGCCGCUCUGGCUUCCUGUUGAUCGGGGACCAUGUCGGAGCCUGCCAAUCCGAUGGACGCUGGACCCCAAAACCCUCCUGUCUCAGGGUAUGUCAUCGGGGUCGUGUGGAGAUCACUGAGAAGGAGCUAGAAACAUCUACCUGCUCCUCCACCUGUCCCCUCAAGUCCUACACAGGCCCUCCUAAGCUGGGCUGCUUCCGCAUAGACAAUUGCCAGAAGAUGAAUCCCGACUGGAAGCGCUGGUUUACUCGCUGUGACACCUGCCUGUGUGAUUGCCACAUCGCCUGCGGUGAGUAGGCAUCUUUAGGAUAAAAGGACAAAUUCCUCUGUUGAGUGAUUAGAAUGUUUUCCGGAACAAUCAAGGAAUAACAGUGAACAGCUUAACGUCACAGAUCCUAGAUUCAUCAUCGGAAUACUGGUGGCUCAUCUGAUUUGGGGAGAAGGAUCGAAGAAAAACCUAGAGAUCUCUCCGUGGAACUAUCAGUCUGUCGCAAAAGACUACUAAGGCUCCAACCUCAACAACCUCAGUGGGUUAACGUAAAAAGUGGAGGCUCAUAAUAAACUCCCUGACUAUGUGUCAGACUGACGAAAUGUUGUCAUCACAUCAAUGAGCAGCAGUGACAGACGAAAGGGGAGGUCUCUCCUAGUGUACAGGUUCUGUUGGGAUUAAUGACUCAUCCCUUAAGCCAGCCUGCUCUUUCAACAUGCCCAUGAAACCUGGAAUGAGCUGGUUCCGGCGCUCAGACCAUAAUCCUGUUAUCUACCGGAGUUGUUGGGUGAGCCAGGGUAUUAUCUGACAGCAUGUCAAUUAGAAAUGCUUGGAUGGACAUAAAAACAACAACAAUGUGUUUGUGUGUAUUUUGAAAAUACUUUAUUCAUUAAUGUAUGGAAUACAUAAUAUGCUAUGUCAGAGUGUAUUAGUAAAUGACUGGAAGACACUUGUAUAGUUCUUUUUCAUGUUAUACACAUUGGUUAGACUGUAUUGCUUGGAAAAUGCAGAUGGUUAUACGAAGUCUGACCUGACCUGAGUGAACGGUCCUUCCCAUUUUCCAGUUGCAUUCUAUUUAGUCCUCAGGAUGAUGUGUUCAUUUUCUACAGGUCUGUAGAAGCCGAUUCCCGUCAAGACAAACUGUAACCAUGUCAUUGAGUAUUGUCUCCAUUUAUGUUAACAGGCUCUUAUUGCACAUUAAAUGGAUAUAGAAUAGUGAGAGAGCUGAAGAAUGAGAGAAGAUUCAUAAGCAUCCAUUGAACUACAACGUUACCUGUGUCCAGCCUGGUCUGAACCCCAGAGGACUCGGAUAGUACCUCCCAGUAUGUCCAGUCGGACUCCGUCCCAGCCACUGUAGCAGUGAACUGCAAACCUGUGAGGACAAGAUGGAACAGUAGACAGACUUGACUAUCACAACAUGGAUGGAUUGUUUCACAAAACAUUUCAUCAGUAAAGGACCCCACCGCCAUCACCAAAUUACAAAUCCUAAAUCAGAAUAGAGGGAGGGUUGGGUCUAUAAAUGCUAAAUCAGAAUAGAGGGAUGGUUGGAUCUAUAAAUGCUAAAUCAGAAUUGAAAGAUGGUUGGAUCUAUAAAUGCUAAAUCAGAAUAGAGGGAG
Molecule: long non-coding RNA, 2087 nt
Organism: Esox lucius (northern pike)
Lineage: Eukaryota; Metazoa; Chordata; Actinopteri; Esociformes; Esocidae
Source: Ensembl